Molecule: unclassified non-coding RNA, 1304 nt
Filed under: Hevea brasiliensis (rubber tree)
Lineage: Eukaryota; Viridiplantae; Streptophyta; Magnoliopsida; Malpighiales; Euphorbiaceae
Source: RNAcentral
GUAAGCUUUCUACUUUGCAAACAUCUAAAACAGUUAUGAUGUUUUAUUGUUAUUAUUAUAAUUAUUAUCAUAGAUUAAAAGAUACAUUAGUGCCAAAAAUCAAGAAAAAAAAAGAAAAUUAAAGCAGUACCAAGACGACAACAGCACAUCAGCUGGUUGGAAUUAUUAAGAAAAAGAAGUAAGAUGAUAAUAAUGCUAGUACAUAAUUAUAUUUAUAUAAUUAUUAAGCUAAUGUAAAUAUAUUAUUUGUUAAUCAAAUUUAUUUGGCUCUUUCCCUUAUGACAUCAAAUCCCAUCUCAGUUGGGUCAGUUGCUUGCAAUUCAUAGUGGAUACCAUCCAGCACUCUUCUCAAUCCAUCUUUGGAGGUUGCAUAUAGGAUUUUUGCUCUAAUUCUUGAUGCUGUUGGAGACCUGAAAUUAAACAACAAUAAUUUCUGUUAUUUUUUGAAAAUUUUAUUUCAGUUAUUUUUUAAAAAUUUUUUGGCAAAAUUUAUAUAUAUAAUCAAGUCCAAUGAGAAAAUUAAAGGGUAUUUUUGGUAUCAUCAUAUAUAAUUAUAUAUACUAUGCUUGCUAAUUGAACAACCUUUUAAUGUACAUGUGAAACCCAAGAAUCCUUGACCCUGUACCUAAUUAGGGUAUAUGCACCUAAAAACUAAGUGGAAAAGGGACUUGGAUCUUCUAUCUACAGACAAUGAAAUGUACCAAAAAUAAUUAAUGAAAAUUUAAUUUUUCCUACUUUUACAGCUUCCACUCACCUCAUUCUUAAUUGAUUACUCAUGAUGAACUCGACUGUACUUUAAUGUCUCAAGUCAAGGGCUUGAGUGCGAACAAAUCUAAUGAAUUUAGAAGAUAAUUUAUUAUUAUUAAUAAUUUAAGUGGAAUAUAUAUGAUUUAGCAAUUCUGUUAGUAAUUAAUGGAAGAUAAAAAUAUUGUAACUAAGAAGUAUAAGGAAGGACCAAGCAAUGAAGAAGAUCUUGCUCUUCCGGCAAUUAUCGACGGUGACAAAGUCGAAGUCGAAAACGGCAUAUCUACAGUCAUCGUUGGGCAAUGAAGCAGCAAGCUCAUCAUAGCCCUCGCCGGGACCACCAACCUUAUCGACGGUGACCAAUCUUGAUUUCUCAUCGAUCUUGAACACUAUGAACCUGUGGACCUUCUUCCACUUCAUCUCCAUGAAGGAGUUCUUGCAUUCAUCAGUCACCCAGAUUCCAGUGGUCGCCAUCUUGAAAGCCAUCGCCAUUGUUGAGAAGGAAAGGUAUUUGGUGUGUUUGAAAGGUGAUAUGAAGAAUAUUGAAGAAUAUGAUCGCA